CGGCGGACGGGUGAGUAACGCGUGGGUAACCUGCCUCAUACAGGGGGAUAACAGUUAGAAAUGACUGCUAAUACCGCAUAAGACCACAGCACCGCAUGGUGCAGGGGUAAAAACUCCGGUGGUAUGAGAUGGACCCGCGUCUGAUUAGCUAGUUGGUAAGGUAACGGCUUACCAAGGCGACGAUCAGUAGCCGACCUGAGAGGGUGGCCGGCCACAUUGGGACUGAGACACGGCCCAA
Molecule: ribosomal RNA, 238 nt
Filed under: uncultured bacterium
Lineage: Bacteria
Description: partial 16S ribosomal RNA
Rfam family: Bacterial small subunit ribosomal RNA
Source: RNAcentral